GGACCCGCACAAGCAGUGGAUUAUGCGGUUUAAUUCGAAGCAACGCGAAGAACCUUACCAACCCUUGACAUUGAAUUAAUCUGAAAGAGAUUUCGGAGUGCCCUUUCGGGGGAAAAUGAAAACAGGUGGUGCAUGGUUGUCGUCAGCUCGUGUCGUGAGAUGUUGGGUUAAGUCCCGCAACGAGCGCAACCCCUGCCAUAUGUAGCUACAGUAAGAUGAGCACUCAUAUGGGACUGCCGGUGUAAGCCGGAGGAAGGCGGGGAUGAGGUCAAAUCAUCAUGCCCUUUAUGGGUUGGGCAACACGCGUAAUACAAUGGCGUGAACAAAGAGAAGCAAGUCAGCAAUGACAAGCGAAAACUGAAAAAACACGUACUCAGUUCGGAUUGCAGGCUGAAACUCGCCUGCAUGAAGCUGGAAUUGCUAGUAAUCGCGGAUCAGAAUGCCG
RNAcentral lists this ribosomal RNA (445 nucleotides) under uncultured Bacillota bacterium. RNAcentral describes it as "bacterial SSU rRNA". It matches the Rfam family "Bacterial small subunit ribosomal RNA", at positions 917 to 1359 of the family's 1533-position model. Lineage: Bacteria; Bacillati; Bacillota. The record is from RNAcentral.